AGAGUUUGAUCCUGGCUCAGGAUGAACGCUAGCGGUAGGCAUAACACAUGCAAGUCGAGGGGCAGCAUAAUUGAAGCUUGCUUUGAUUGAUGGCGACCGGCGGAUGGGUGAGUAACGCGUAUGCAACCUGGCUUAUACAGGAGGAUAGACACUGGAAACGGUGCGUAAUACUGCGUAAUGUUAUCGGGAGGCAUCUCUUGAUAAAGAAAGAUUUCGAUUGGUAUAAGAUGGGCAUGCGUAGGAUUAGCUAGAUGGUGAGGUAAUGGCUUACCAUGGCGACGAUCUUUAGGGGUUCUGAGAGGAAGGUCCCCCACAUUGCAACUGAGAACGGUGCAAACUCCUACGGGAGGCAGCAGUGAGGAAUAUUGGUCAAUGGGCGGAAGCCUGAACCAGCCAUACCGCGUGCAGGAAGGCGGCCUUAUGGGUUGUAAACUGCUUUUAUAUUGGGAUAAAGGGCUUGUCGAGGACAAGCAAUUGAAGGUACAGUAUGAAUAAGUAUCGGCUAACUCCGUGCCAGCAGCCGCGGUAAUACGGAGGAUACGAGCGUUAUCCGGAUUUAUUGGGUUUAAAGGGUGCGUAGGCGGACAUUUAGGUCUAUGGUGAAAUCGUUGUGCUCAACACAAUUCAGCUGUAGAAACCGAGUGACUAGAAUAUAGGUGGCGCAGGCGGAAUAAAGCAUGUAGAGGUGACAUUCAUAGAUAUGCUUUAGAACACCGAUCGCGAAGGCGGCUUGCGAAGGUAUGAUUGACGCUAAUGCACGAAAGCGUGGGUAUCGAACAGAAUUAGAUACUCUGGUAGUCCACGCUGUAAACGAUGAUAACUAUAUGUUGGCGAUAGACGGCCAGUGUAGCAGCGAAAGCGAUAAGUUAUCCACCUGGGGAGUACGAUCGCAAGGUUGAAACUCAAAGGAAUUGACGGGGGCCCGCACAAGCGGAGGAGCAUGUGGUUUAAUUCGAUGAUACGCGAGGAACCUUACCCGGGCUUGAACGUGAGAUGGAUAUCUAAGAGAUUAGGUAGUUAUUUAUAACGUCUUGCGAGGUGCUGCAUGGUUGUCGUCAGCUCGUGCCGUGAGGUGUCAGGUUAAGUCCUAUAACGAGCGCAACCCUUGUCAUUAGUUACCAGCAUGUAGCGGUGGGGACUCUAAUGAUACUGCCGGCGUAAGCCGCGAGGAAGGGGGGGAUGACGUCAAAUCAGCACGGCCCUUACGUCCGGGGCGACACACGUGCUACAAUGGCCAUUACAGAGGGCAGUUACCUGGUGACAGGAUACGAAUCUCUAAAGGUGGUCUUAGUACGGAUUGGAGUCUGCAACUCGACUCCAUGAAGUUGGAUUCGCUAGUAAUCGCAGAUCAGCCAUGCUGCGGUGAAUACGUUCCCGGGCCUUGUACACACCGCCCGUCAAGCCAUGGGAGUUGGUGGUACCUAAAGAGCGUAACCGCGAGGAGCGUUUAAGGGUAAUGCUAAUAACUGGGGCUAAGUCGUAACAAGGUAGCCGUACCGGAAGGUGUGGCUGGAACACCUCCUU
Molecule: ribosomal RNA, 1524 nt
Filed under: uncultured bacterium
Lineage: Bacteria
Description: bacterial SSU rRNA
Rfam family: Bacterial small subunit ribosomal RNA
Source: RNAcentral